GUGUCAGCAGCCGCGGUAAUACAGAGGCCUCUAGCGUUAGGCGGAAUCACUGGGCUUAAAGCGUGUGUAGGCGGGUCGUUAAGUGCCUUGUGAAAUCCCCUGGCUCAACCAGGGAACUGCUUGGCAUACUGGCGAUCUUGAGCCACCUAGGGGCAACUGGAACAGACGGUGGAGCGGUGAAAUGCGUAGAUAUCGUCUGGAACGCCAAUGGUGAAGACAGGUUGCUGGGGGUGCGCUGACGCUGAGACACGAAAGCCAGGGGAGCAAACGGGAUUAGAAACCCGGGUAGUCC
RNAcentral lists this ribosomal RNA (292 nucleotides) under uncultured bacterium. Its description in RNAcentral is "partial 16S ribosomal RNA". It matches the Rfam family "Bacterial small subunit ribosomal RNA", at positions 505 to 796 of the family's 1533-position model. The record is from RNAcentral.